This 460-nucleotide ribosomal RNA is filed under the name uncultured bacterium. RNAcentral's name for it is "partial 16S ribosomal RNA". It matches the Rfam family "Bacterial small subunit ribosomal RNA", at positions 338 to 795 of the family's 1533-position model. The record is from RNAcentral.
CCUACGGGAGACAGCAGUGAGGAAUAUUUGUCAAUGGGCGCAAGCCUGAACCAGCCAAGUCGCGUGAGGGAAGACGGUCCUCUGGAUUGUAAACCUCUUUUGUCGGGGAGCAAAGCGCGGUACGAGUACCGCGAAGGAGAGUACCCGAAGCAAAAGCAUCGGCUAACUCCGUUCCAGCCGCCGCGGUAAUACGGAGGAUGCUAGCGUUAUCCGGAUUUAUUGGGUUGAACGGGUGCGUAGGCGGAUUUGUCAGUCAGCGGUAAAAAUGCGGUGCUCAACGUCGUAUCGCCGUUGAAACUGCAGGUCUUGAGUGAGCGAGAAGUAUGCGGAAUGCGUGGUGUAGCGGUGAAAUGCAUAGAUAUAACGAAGAACUCCGAUUGCGAAGGCAGCAUACCGGCGCUCAACUGACGCUGAGGCACGAAAGCGUGGGGAUCGAACAGGAUUAGAUACCCUGGUAGUC